GACGAACGCUGGCGGCGUGCUUAACACAUGCAAGUCGAACGGAAAGGCCCUGCUUUUGUGGGGUGCUCGAGUGGCGAACGGGUGAGUAACACGUGAGUAACCUGCCCUUGACUUUGGGAUAACUUCAGGAAACUGGGGCUAAUACCGGAUAGGAGCUCCUGCUGCAUGGUGGGGGUGGGAAAGUUUCGGCGGAUGGGGAUGGACUCGCGGCUUAUCAGCUUGUUGGUGGGGUAGUGGCUUACCAAGGCUUUGACGGGUAGCCGGCCUGAGAGGGUGACCGGCCACAUUGGGACUGAGAUACGGCCCAGACGCAUACGGGAGGCAGCAGUGGGGAAUAGUGGACAAUGGGCGGAAGCCUGAUGCAGCAACGCCGCGUGCGGGAUGACGGCCUUCGGGUUGUAAACCGCUUUCGCCUGUGACGACGCGGGAGUGACGGUAAUGGGUAAAGAAGCACCGGCUAACUACGUG
This 468-nucleotide ribosomal RNA is filed under the name uncultured bacterium. Its description in RNAcentral is "partial 16S ribosomal RNA". It matches the Rfam family "Bacterial small subunit ribosomal RNA", at positions 28 to 507 of the family's 1533-position model. The record is from RNAcentral.